This is a long non-coding RNA of Biomphalaria glabrata, 757 nucleotides long. RefSeq lists it as uncharacterized. The record is from RefSeq and is a predicted model, not a curated record. The transcript is spliced from 3 exons. NCBI's taxonomy places the organism in Eukaryota, Metazoa, Mollusca, Gastropoda, Planorbidae.
CAUUCGACUUUCGACAUUGAAUGUGGUCCUUCAAAAGCUCGCUCUAAAACUACGGAGGACCACAAGAUCAUCGUAUCGACGGAGCAAGAGUAAGACUGACAUAGACAAGAUGAAGGGAAAUACAGAAGGCGUGUAGAGACCUUAUUACCAACCAGCUGGUCAAGCCAUGACAGAGGCAUCGAUGAUAGCAGUUUUGUGUUUUGUCCUUCCUUUCAUUCACGUUCAAACUGAUGUGCAGUCUGGAACAUGUAGAUAUAGAUGUGGGUCUGUAGUACAGUCCGAUUGUUACUGCGAUGACUUGUGCUGGCUUUAUAAAGACUGUUGUCCAGACUUUUACCAGGAGUGUCGUGGCGUAGCUCUCUAUCCCCAGCCUGUGACACUUAAGAAUUUGUUUACAUAUUGGAGAACUUCGAUUUUAAUUCAAUCGUCCCAAUGCACAAGAACUAUGAACGGAGACUAUUGGGUGGUUUCCAAAUGUAGCUUGAACCCAGAGAUACAACUGAAAUUCAAAGAAUCACUCUAUAACAUCAAACAAAUGAAAACAAAGGAUUCUUUUUUAAAUUACGUCUCAAGUUUUACUUUGCAGGAUGUCGUGAAAGGUUGUGAAAAAUUGUUGACAUUCAAAGAUCGCCAAACUGGCAUAUUUAUCCAUUUUCUUUUCAGCAAUUUUCAAAUGGAAAAACAUUUCACUUUUGCCAACGUGUUUUGUGCUUUCUGUAAUGGUUUUAUUUUAACACCUAAUGAUAAGAAUCUCAAG